This is a long non-coding RNA of Xiphophorus hellerii (green swordtail), 1129 nucleotides long. RefSeq lists it as uncharacterized. NCBI's taxonomy places the organism in Eukaryota, Metazoa, Chordata, Actinopteri, Cyprinodontiformes, Poeciliidae. The record is from RefSeq and is a predicted model, not a curated record. The transcript is spliced from 4 exons.
GCAGGUAAUGUUAGCUAAAAGAUGACUAGUUAAUAACAAUACAUCACGUUAAGCUUGUUAUCAAGUGGCCUGUAGACUACUGAUGUUGUCUAGAUUCAUUUUGCGCCCCCAAAAUAAGUCGACGCCACCCCUGUUAAACUCGUCUGGAGCCGGUGCUGGUCCAAACUCCGAUCCGGUUUCUAAAUGCACGAUCUGCGGCGCUGGGGGGCGAACUUUGAUCGCUGUUUUAUGUCUUUUCUUUGAUUUUUUUUACUUGUUUUAAACAUCCAAUCAAGUCAAGUCUCCCGCUGCACAGAUCUGACGGUGUACGUCUUCCUGCGCGCCGACGCACACGCCCCUUUUUCUUCACUAAUUUCAACCACACCUAAAACCAGCGUGAUGCUGCCCACAGUCUGUUUUAAACAGUGGAAAUACGGAAUAAUUUAACAGCAACUGUUCUACAAAACAGUUUGAUACAUUUGCUUCUUUGAUGUAUUUAUUCAGAAGAAAAAGAAAAAAACCCAUAGUGGUUAUGUUACCCAAUUUUUACAUAAUAAAUGUAGGAAACCUAUGUCUUUCUUAAAGGGUUAAAAAAAAAUAGACCCUGUAUGUUGGGUUCUGCAGGGAAGUGGUUUUUUUCUUCUUGUUUAAAUUUAUUGGGGGUUGGCAAAAAACGUUGGGUGAGCAUUACCGCCACCAACUGGUAAGGAGUGUGGACCACAUGACAAAACAGGGGGGUGGUUUUCUUCUUCUUCACAGGGUGGCAGGCUGAUGGGAUCCAGCUGCUACUCAUCACCACCAAUCUGCAAGGUCCUUAAAGAGGAGCGGCCACAGAUGCCAGAUGGUUCUGCUUCUACAGUGUGAACCCGCGCUGAACACUCUCUGAACCAGGACUCACCUGAAGUAUCUGAUCCUCGCUGCUCCGUUGGGCCUUGCACCUGGGUGCGUCACGCCCACCACUCAGCUGCUGCCUGUCCGCCCCCAAUCACCUGCUGGAACUUCCCCAUCUGGAAAACCACCACAUCACACCAACUGUUGGACCCCCAUGUACUUACCUCUACCCGCAGACCUUCCUCCCUGUUGUCGCAGAUCGACGCCCCUCCACACGCUCUCCAGCACAUUCUACUGCUAAAUAAAUCUGUUAAAACUG